AUUAUGUAUAGGCUGCUUGUCUUUGCCGUGGACGACACUAAAGACCUCUAAGUUAAAGUAGCUCUCUUAGCAGAACGAGAGCCAUAAUGGAUCAGGAAAUUCCAUCAAUGCACCCUGUCUCUCUUUAGUAGGGAGCCGAGGCACCCUUCUAUGACUCAGUCUUGUCACGUUACAGUAUGAGGAACUGCGCAAAAGCAGAUUGAAGCAAAGGAAACUGUGUCGGUAGUAAAUUCUAGGUAUCCUACAUGAAUGUAUUUAUUUCCAAGUAACUCCUGUGGGUAACAAAACGUUGGCUUCCACAUCAAGAAUAAAGUUGUCAAAGUAGAGGCUUGAAAGCAACUUACAAUGAGGUAGAUGUAAAGACCUGUGAUAUUAAAGCGUAUUAAAGGUGAUAAGGAACUUUACCAUCGAAGGAAUCUUCAGUCAUGGCGACUAUGACCAUGGAGCAGAGACGUUUCCCUCGCUGUAUAAGAAAAUCUGCCAUUAAAGUUUUUCAAGAACAAGAAAAGCUACAGUUUCAUCUGCAUUUUUCAUCAACUUGGUUCUCAAGAAACCUUCAAUGAUCAGACGCAAUGAUAUGCUCCUUUGGCGUGGUAGCGAGUGGAGAUAAUCUAUGAACUGCUGAAAGACUACUUUUUCCUCAAAAAGUGGAUUUUUCCACCUACCUACACGAAAGUCGUAAAAUGUCCACUCAAUUAGGGCUCAGACUGAAAAAGAAAUUAAUUAAUUAAUUUAAACUGACUCAAAAACACUUCCGGAUUGAACAGCUUCGAUUAACUUCCCACCGUUCCGACAAUGAACAGCAGUGGCUA
Non-coding RNA from Bemisia tabaci, 812 nucleotides. NCBI's taxonomy places the organism in Eukaryota, Metazoa, Arthropoda, Insecta, Hemiptera, Aleyrodidae. The record is from RefSeq and is a predicted model, not a curated record.